UUCUUUUGAGAUUACUGCUUGCUUAAUGUGAUUAGCAUUGCAUUAGCGUCUGUUUAGGAUUACUUGAAUUCGCAAUUUGGGAAUAUCUGAUGAACUUACUUUGGUUUUUCGCUCCCACAAUUGCGAACAGACAGAAACAAUAGAUAAAUUGAUGAGGGAAUUGGGAGAGCAAGUGCUGGAACGAGAGUUCUGUCAAAGUACUGCAAAAAGUUUUAAUCGCUCUGCAGCUCGUGCUGGGAAACCUAUUGUAAAAUGGACUGAGGUUAACACUUUCUAUCUCUUUUUCUGCUUUUCAUUUGAUUGCACUUGUUACCGUUGUUUUUACCAUAAGGCGGCAUUGAUUAAUCGUGUCUAAAGCGCUUCUCUGUUGGAAUGGUCCUAGUUGCAAAGCUGGUUCGAGAAUAGGGUGAAAGAGUCACCAAACAUAUGCAGAAAUUACCCUUCGAAUAAGGCACACAAAAGUUCCGAAAUACCUAAAGAAGAAAAGAUCCCAGACGUAUCAGAGUUGGAAUUUGAGGCAAGGUCAUCAAAAGAUGGGGCAUGGUUAGUAUACAAACAAGGAUGACUUUGUCAUUGAAUUUCUCGGUCCCUUUACGUGUGUUCUUGUUGGAUGCAUCAGUUUGUCAUUAUUGCUAUCUUGUUGGUUAUUAGCAUUUUUUUUUGUGGCAAAACCUUGGGCCUAAUUUGGUGAGCCUAGCAAACUGGGCGUUUGUUACAAAUCAUGAAAAGAUUGAUACGAGGCAUUUGGUGAAGGAUGUAAGGAAAUAGAUCCUCAUGUACACCUGACUAUCCUGUGAAUAGUACAAGUUUAAUGCCUCGAUCGAUGUCUAUUCAGCCACCUCAUUGUUAAGCCAAGAGAUAGGACAGAGUUUGAAAGUAUAAUGAAAACUAAAAUAUAGUUUCAAUGUUUGAUUUUUCCUAUAUAUUUUGAUAGCAACGAUCUUCAACUGUGUGCGCCGUUGAAUUUAUGUUCUGAUUGCCUUGAUUGUAAUUCUUAUGGAAAAAGCUUUUUCUUCAACUGAGUUGAGGUCCAGGCUUCACCUUGAAAGUCAUUCUUCAAGUGUAAAAUAGUUCUCCAAACUUUAUUCUUUCACUCAAUUUUCAUCUCUGGUUCGUUAUGCUAUAUCUGUACGCUUUAACUGACCGUGAACCUCUACAUGUUUUGAGACCAUGAGACGCUUUCUAUCUUUUUCCUCCAAUCCUAUCAGCCCUUCUCCUCUCUCUCCCCGACUCUCUUAUAUUGCUUUGCAGGUAUGAUGUUGAAAAGUUCCUUGCUCACAGAUUCCUUAGAACGGGCGAAACUGUAAGUAUUUAAAUCAUAACUUAUUGCUCUAUCCGUGAAUAUACUGCUGAUCGACACGUUGGUCUGAACUUUGAGUACGUAUAAGUCUAACCGGAGAGUUGGAGACCACUUGGAUUUGGAAAACAGCGUACAAAAACCAGACCUAGCCAUACAUAAGUUCAUUAAGUGACCUUUGUCAUUUAUUAAAGGAAGUUCGUGUCAGAUUUGUCGGAUUCAGAGCCGAAGAGGAUGAGUGGGUUAAUGUGAAAAAAGCAGUGCGGGAGCGCUCCGUGCCACUGGAGCAUUCAGAAUGUCGUACAUUGAAGGUUGGAGAUCAUGUCCUCUGCAUCCUGGAGAGGAGAGAUGAAGCAA
This is a non-coding RNA of Malus domestica (apple), 1654 nucleotides long. NCBI's taxonomy places the organism in Eukaryota, Viridiplantae, Streptophyta, Magnoliopsida, Rosales, Rosaceae. The record is from RefSeq and is a predicted model, not a curated record.